RNAcentral lists this long non-coding RNA (713 nucleotides) under Rattus norvegicus (Norway rat). RNAcentral describes it as "long non-coding RNA NONRATT029891". The record is from RNAcentral. Lineage: Eukaryota; Metazoa; Chordata; Mammalia; Rodentia; Muridae.
ACAGUUUGUAAAAUCCGUUCUCUCCUUCCUCUGUGUGGGUUGUGAAGGUGAGACUCAAGUUGUCAACCUUGGUGGCAAAUGCCUUUACCCACUGAGCCAUUUGCUUGGCCCCCUCAGUAAAUGGUCUUAUCUAUCACUCCUUAAACAGCCAGAUAGAAGAUUCAGAUCAUUUAGGCUCUCAAUGAGUACUGGGCCUUUGCUGCUGAUUGUUUUUUAUGAUGAAAACGUAAUUGGAAUCGAACCAAUUCCAAUUCUUAAAACUGUCAGAAAGGUCAACAAGAAGGCAAUUUUUAUGGUCAACCAUAUAUAGAAUAAUUUGAGGUUUGAAUCUCUAUCCCUCCAGAAAUGUCUGAAAUAGUUCCGUGUCUUGCUGUCCUCUGUGUGAAAUGUGCUGCUGUAGAGGGAUGCCAGACAGAGAAUGACUUUCUGAACAGUUCCACUUUAUCUGUAAUCGAGCACAUUGAUGAAAGGCAGGAGAGCCACAUUUAACUGGAGUACACAUUAACAAGGAGAGGUCCGGUAACUUAGUAUCUGCCCAUGUUUGGUGUUUAGAACCUUAAAAUUAACAUGCAGCUCUUACCAUAAUUUUGAGUGCCGCUGGGACUGUAUAGUCCAUGGCAUUUAGGAGUAGGACAAGACCAAGGAUGGACAUGAGAAGUUCUCUGAGUCAUACACUCUAACUUCUAACAUAUGCACAUGUGUUUCUCAUAGAA